UCGCCACGGGAAGACAGAGGAUGCAAGCGUUAUCCGGAAUGAUUGGGCGUAAAGCGUCUGUAGGUGGCUUUUCAAGUCCGCCGUCAAAUCCCCGGGCUCAACCCUGGACAGGCAGUGGAACUACCAAGCUGGAGUAUGGUAGGGGCAGAGGGAAUUUCCGGUGGAGCGGUGAAAUGCGUUGAGAUCGGAAAGAGCACCAACGGCGAAAGCACUCUGCUGGGCCGACACUGACACUGAGAGACGAAAGCUAGGGGAGCAAAUGGGAUUAGAUACCCCUGUAGUCCCUGUCUCUUAUACACAU
Molecule: ribosomal RNA, 301 nt
Filed under: uncultured bacterium
Lineage: Bacteria
Description: partial 16S ribosomal RNA
Rfam family: Bacterial small subunit ribosomal RNA
Source: RNAcentral